RNAcentral lists this ribosomal RNA (468 nucleotides) under uncultured bacterium. RNAcentral describes it as "partial 16S ribosomal RNA". It matches the Rfam family "Bacterial small subunit ribosomal RNA", at positions 28 to 507 of the family's 1533-position model. The record is from RNAcentral.
GACGAACGCUGGCGGCGUGCUUAACACAUGCAAGUCGAACGGAAAGGCCCUGCUUUUGUGGGGUGCUCGAGUGGCGAACGGGUGAGUAACACGUGAGUAACCUGCCCUUGACUUUGGGAUAACUUCAGGAAACUGGGGCUAAUACCGGAUAGGAGCUCCUGCUGCAUGGUGGGGGUUGGAAAGUUUCGGCGGUUGGGGUUGGACUCGCGGCUUAUCAGCUUGUUGGUGGGGUAGUGGCUUACCAAGGCUUUGACGGGUAGCCGGCCUGAGAGGGUUACCGGCCACAUUGGGACUGAGGUACAGCCCAGACUCCUACGGGGGGCAGCAGUGGGGAAUAUUGCACAAUGGGCGGAAGCCUGAUGCAGCAACGCCGCGUGCGGGAUGACGGCCUUCGGGUUGUACACCGCUUUCGCCUGUGACGAAGCGUGAGUGACGGUAAUGGGUAAAGAAGCACCGGCUAACUACGUG